GAGUUUGAUCCUGGCUCAGGAUGAACGCUGGCGGCGUGCCUAAUACAUGCAAGUCGAGCGAACAGAUAAGGAGCUUGCUCCUUUGACGUUAGCGGCGGACGGGUGAGUAACACGUGGGUAACCUACCUAUAAGACUGGAAUAACUCCGGGAAACCGGGGCUAAUGCCGGAUAAUAUUUAGAACCGCAUGGUUCUAAAGUGAAAGAUGGUUUUGCUAUCACUUAUAGAUGGACCCGCGCCGUAUUAGCUAGUUGGUGGGGUAAUGGCUUACCAAGGCAACGAUACGUAGCCGACCUGAGAGGGUGAUCGGCCACACUGGAACUGAGACACGGUCCAGACUCCUACGGGAGGCAGCAGUAGGGAAUCUUCCGCAAUGGGCGAAAGCCUGACGGAGCAACGCCGCGUGAGUGAUGAAGGUCUUCGGAUCGUAAAACUCUGUUAUUAGGGAAGAACAAAUGUGUAAGUAACUGUGCACGUCUUGACGGUACCUAAUCAGAAAGCCACGGCUAACUACGUGCCAGCAGCCGCGGUAAUACGUAGGUGGCAAGCGUUAUCCGGAAUUAUUGGGCGUAAAGCGCGCGU
RNAcentral lists this ribosomal RNA (581 nucleotides) under uncultured bacterium. Its description in RNAcentral is "bacterial SSU rRNA". It matches the Rfam family "Bacterial small subunit ribosomal RNA", at positions 9 to 572 of the family's 1533-position model. The record is from RNAcentral.